GACGUACGCUGGCGGCGUGCUUAACACAUGCAAGUCGAGCGGAAAGGCCCUUUCGGGGGUACUCGAGCGGCGAACGGGUGAGUAACACGUGAGUAAUCUGCCCCUGGCUUUGGGAUAGCCACCGGAAACGGUGAUUAAUACCGGAUACGACCACUUCUCGCAUGGGAUGGUGGUGGAAAGUUUUUCGGCCAGGGAUGUGCUCGCGGCCUAUCAGCUUGAUGGUGAGGUAAUGGCUCACCAUGGCUUCGACGGGUAGCCGGCCUGAGAGGGUGACCGGUCACACGGGGACUGAGACACGGCCCAGACUCCUACGGGAGGCAGCAGUGGGGAAUAUUGGACAAUGGGCGGAAGCCUGAUCCAGCAACGCCGCGUGAGGGUUGACGGCCUUCGGGUUGUAAACCUCUUUCAGCAGGGACGAAGCGCAAGUGACGGUACCUGCAGAAGAAGCACCGGCCAACUACGUGCCAGCCGCCGCCGUAA
This 480-nucleotide ribosomal RNA is filed under the name uncultured bacterium. RNAcentral describes it as "partial 16S ribosomal RNA". It matches the Rfam family "Bacterial small subunit ribosomal RNA", at positions 28 to 523 of the family's 1533-position model. The record is from RNAcentral.